GUGGGGAAUAUUGGACAAUGGGCGAAAGUCUGAUCCAGCCAUGCCGCGUGUGUGAAGAAGGUCUUCGGAUUGUAAAGCACUUUAAGUUGGGAGGAAGGGCAGUAAGUUAAUACCUUGCCGUUUUGACGUUACCGACAGAAUAAGCACCGGCUAACUUCGUGCCAGCAGCCGCGGUAAUACGAAGGGUGCAAGUGUUAAUCGGAAUUACUGGGCGUAAAGCGCGCGUAGGUGGUUUUGUAAGUUGGAGGUGAAAUCCCCGGGCUCAACCUGGGAACUGCCUCCAAAACUGCAUGACUAGAGUACGGUAGAGGGUAGUGGAAUUUCCUGUGUAGCGGUGAAAUGCGUAGAUAUAGGAAGGAACACCAGUGGCGAAGGCGACUACCUGGACUGAUACUGACACUGAGGUGCGAAAGCGUGGGGAGCAAACAGGAUUAGAAACCCUAGUAGUCC
This 450-nucleotide ribosomal RNA is filed under the name uncultured bacterium. RNAcentral's name for it is "partial 16S ribosomal RNA". It matches the Rfam family "Bacterial small subunit ribosomal RNA", at positions 354 to 796 of the family's 1533-position model. The record is from RNAcentral.